Molecule: unclassified non-coding RNA, 117 nt
Organism: Callithrix jacchus (white-tufted-ear marmoset)
Lineage: Eukaryota; Metazoa; Chordata; Mammalia; Primates; Cebidae
Rfam family: Metazoan signal recognition particle RNA
About the family: The signal recognition particle (SRP) is a universally conserved ribonucleoprotein. It is involved in the co-translational targeting of proteins to membranes.
Source: Ensembl
GCUGGGCGCGGUGGCUCACGCCUGUAAUCCCAGUACUUUGGGAGGCCGAGGUGGGUGGAUCACCUGAGGUCAGGAGUUCAAGACCAGCCUGGCCAACAUGGUGAAACCCCGUCUCUA